AAAUAUAACAGGUCCAUCCUGCCCAGUGAUCUUUUAUUAUACGGCCGCGGUAUCCUAACCGUGCAAAGGUAGCAUAAUCAUUUGCCUUUUAAUUGGAGGCUUGUAUGAACGGACCCACAAGAAUAAAUCUGUCUCACUUGAAUUAAUAUAAACUGAUAUUAAGGUGCAGAAGCCUUAAUUAAAAUAAAGGACAAGAAGACCCUAUAGAGCUUUAUUAAUAACGGCCAUAAUACCUAAUUAUUAAUUUGGUUGGGGCAACCUAAAGACAAAACCACCUCUUUUUUUAUAUAUUCUACCCGCACCCAAAAAUGUAAUAGAAUAAGCUACCUUAGGGAUAACAGGCUAAUCCUACUAAAGAGACCACAUUGACAGUAGGGAUUGGCACCUCGAUGUUGGCUUA
This 400-nucleotide ribosomal RNA is filed under the name Perinereis aff. quatrefagesi AN-2013. RNAcentral describes it as "partial 16S ribosomal RNA". It matches the Rfam family "Bacterial large subunit ribosomal RNA", at positions 1841 to 2539 of the family's 2925-position model. Lineage: Eukaryota; Metazoa; Annelida; Polychaeta; Phyllodocida; Nereididae. The record is from RNAcentral.